CGGACGGGUGAGUAACGCGUGGGUAACCUGCCCCAUAGAGGGGGACAACAGCUGGAAACGGCUGCUAAUACCGCAUAGCAGGGAAGAGACGCAUGUCUUUUCCUUCAAAGAUUUAUCGCUAUGGGAUGGACCCGCGUCUGAUUAGCUAGUUGGUAGGGUAACGGCCUACCAAGGCGACGAUCAGUAGCCGGCUUGAGAGAGUGGACGGCCACAUUGGGACUGAGACACGGCCCAGACUCCUACGGGAGGCAGCAG
Molecule: ribosomal RNA, 255 nt
Filed under: uncultured bacterium
Lineage: Bacteria
Description: partial 16S ribosomal RNA
Rfam family: Bacterial small subunit ribosomal RNA
Source: RNAcentral